Long non-coding RNA from Helianthus annuus (common sunflower), 755 nucleotides. RefSeq lists it as uncharacterized. The transcript is spliced from 5 exons. The record is from RefSeq and is a predicted model, not a curated record. Lineage: Eukaryota; Viridiplantae; Streptophyta; Magnoliopsida; Asterales; Asteraceae.
CGCUUCCCAUCCCAUUUUCUUCUCAGGUUACGGAGAUAGAGAGGAGCAAGAGAAAGACAAAGACCUUCCGGAAGAGAGAGCUGAGCGACGAUGAUGGAGGAACGGGUGGUGGUCUCUGUCCGGCCACCGACCGGUGGUCAUGGUCCGGUGGUUUUGUCGCGUGAGAAUAUCUCUCCACCCCAAAUUCAUCUUUGAAACCCUAACACCAUCUCCGGCACCACCAAAUUCCACCAUAUCCGGCCACUUAUCCACACGAGGGGCAUGCGAUAUCUGAACCACCGCUCAACCUCCGUUCCGCCGCUUGACCUCCGGCCGGCGUCACACUCAUCAUCGCCUGAAUAUCCAUCUGAAGCGAAGCUUAUCCAUGGUGUCCUCCAGUUUCGUUACAGUCUAUAAAAGAAUUCGUUCAAGGUUAGUGCUAUUGCAAGCAAGUAUAUUGUUUCUUUGCAGUGAUUCAUAGUGUACCACAUUCUGACAUAGUCGGUUCAUGGGUUCAAGAAGGUAAUGGCGUCAAGUUGAUUGGGUGAAUCAAAAUUUAAGGGCUACAAGAUGUUAUAAAAAAGACCAAAUAGGAAAGUGUUAAAAUUUCAAGCUCAUUGUGGACUGUAAGGUGAUUCAAAUCUGGGACUACCAUUGGGUUGCAGGUGUGGAUGAAAGGGAAGGAAAAAACUAAUCAUGGCGGAGUGGUGGCAUACACGCGUGGAGCUAAAAGGUGAGGCACGCAGGCAGGCACCUACCAAUCGAGUUUCAGGCAU